UACGUAGGGGGCUAGCGUUGUCCGGAUUUAUUGGGCGUAAAGAGCUCGUAGGCGGUUCGGUAAGUCGGGUGUGAAACCUCCAGGCUCAACCUGGAGACGCCACCCGAUACUGCUGUGACUAGAGUCCGGUAGGGGAGCGUGGAAUUCCUGGUGUAGCGGUGAAAUGCGCAGAUAUCAGGAGGAACACCAGCGGCGAAGGCGGCGCUCUGGGCCGGAACUGACGCUGAGGAGCGAAAGCGUGGGGAGCAAACAGG
Molecule: ribosomal RNA, 254 nt
Filed under: uncultured bacterium
Lineage: Bacteria
Description: partial 16S ribosomal RNA
Rfam family: Bacterial small subunit ribosomal RNA
Source: RNAcentral